GUUGAUGUUAACAUCUUGGUUAGGAGCUCCUCUAAGGUCUGGUUGAUGUUAACAUCUUGGUUAGGAGCUCCUCUAAGGUCUGGUUGAUGUUAACAUCUUGGUUAGGAGCUCCUCUAAGGUGAGGUUGUCUGGUUGCUGUUUGCUCUCCCUGAGCAGGACCACCUCUCCCUCCAGUUUGGUGAACUCAUCCCUCAUGGCAGCCAUGGUGGUGAGGAGGGCCUGAGCCUGCUCUGCACUGAGGGGGUCGCUCUCCUCCUGGGGCAUGUCCUCCACUAUGGUGGGAAGAGAGGUGCUGGAUGUGCCUUUUUGGGUGGGGAUAGUAGGGGUGAGGGUGGUGCUGGUGGAGUUUGUCUUGUGGGAGGACAGUCCCAGUCUUGUAGAGGUUGAUUGUUAUCAUGGUGCUGUCAGGGUCGUCUGUCUCUUUGAUUUUCAGCUUCCACCCAUUACAGAUUCCCUCUUUCUUUAUGGAUGGGUAGUGAGAGCAGACUGCUAAGCGCCAUGCAUUUGGCUGGUCAGUGAGGAAGAUGAGAUUACUCACAUCACCGUUUUUGUAGAGGUCUGCGAAAAGGGUUUCUGGCCUCCCCUUU
This 587-nucleotide long non-coding RNA is filed under the name Salmo salar (Atlantic salmon). Its description in RNAcentral is "lncRNA (ENSSSAG00000091821.1, ENSSSAG00000119490.1)". Lineage: Eukaryota; Metazoa; Chordata; Actinopteri; Salmoniformes; Salmonidae. The record is from RNAcentral.